GUUUUCCUUUAAAUUAUUAUGAUGAUUUGUACUCUUAUUAUCUGAACCUAAAUUUUAAAAGAUGUGGUUUUAAAAACAAACCACUUAUUCAAACAACUGUCAUGCAAUGCUGGUGCUGAAUUAAACAUCCAACACACCAGUAACCUCACUUAACUGAAGCGUCUUCAAUUUCACCCUCAUAUUUUGAGGGUAAAUUACCAUAAAAUAUAUACUUAAUGCAUUUCAAAAGAAUAAUACAAUUAAAUCGUAUAUUUAAAUAAAAUAAUAAUUAAAAGUACAACAAACUAAAGAGUCAACACUUCUUUAAAAAAAAACAACUCUUCAUUCAAAAUUCAACUCGUGCAACGUAAUCCUGAAACGAAUCCGGUUGCAUCAUUAAUGAAUAAAGUCCUAUUUGCAUCAGCAAUUCAUUUCCCGGGAAGAAGAAAAACAGAAAAGGGAGGAAAAAAACAGAAUGCAUAGAAAGGGGAGGGAAAACCAAAAUGUUGCUGCAAAUCCUCCCAACCACCACUUGGAUAAUUCAUCAGCGGCAAUUUCUCCAGCGGGAAAGGGAGGGGGCAAGGUCCCUGAAGCAGCCCCUCGGCUUGGAGCACGCCAAGUCUUGCCCGGAGGAGGCUUUUCGUUUCUCCCUCCGAGGUCUUUCUUUUUUAAGGCUUUGCAGUUAGUCCUAUUUUCAACAGAUUCCGGUGAAAACUCUUCAUUUUCCUCCCGGCUUCUCCCAGGGGCCUGACCGGCUGCGCGGCCGGGGGUGGAAGGCGGUGGUCGCUUGUGGGCCGCGCCGCGCGGGGCAGAGAGCCCGGUCUCCCCUACACCCGCACCGCGGCCGCCGCUCCGGAGGCUCCCGACGCCCCAGGCGAGGGGGGGUGCUCUUCUGAAUUCAAAGGACACGGGCGGCCGCAGCUGCGGUGGCGGCGCGGGCGGCUCCGGCAGCUACUUCUCCCCCUUCUUCACACCCCUGGGCUAAGGGCAUCUUUCCUCAGCGAGGAAGGAGGCGGCCGAGGCGCUGGAGGAGGGGUCGCCGCCGCGGCUGAGGAGACCAGAGACUGCCGCAGCCCAGCUCCCAACCACUCCCUUCCUCUCUCUCUUAAACCUCCCCCGCCUUCCCUCUCCUCUCGCGCUCGCGCCCUCGGCUCCGCGAGGCUCCUCCAGUCCCGCCGCACGCAGGCGGAGGCUCGCGGACUAGUCCGAAUCCAAUAUGGCGGCCUGGCCCCCCGGCCCCGGCACACGCGCGCGCACACGCCCUCCCCGCCCCCGCCCCCGCCCCCGCCCCCGCCCCCGCUAUGCCGGAGCCCCAGUCCCAGCCGGCGGCCAAGCCGGGCGGGGUCCGAACGGCGCGCCCAGUGGAGGCCCCCGAGGGGGCGCAGGCCCGGGGCGCAAGCGGCUGCGCCAGCCGGAGGGGAAGGGUGGGGACCGCCUUCGCGGCUAGGCUGCGGCUGCCGCAACGUGGAAUGCGGAGCUGCGGGAGGGCUGGAGGAGGCCCGGGCGGCGGUGGCGGAGCAUAUGGAGGCGGGAUGACCGGGCCGCGCCGGGCGCUGCCGCAGGACGGGGAGUAGGCUGGGAACUGAGCCACCGCCGCGCCGUGGCCGCGGCUCCCCGACGCUUCUCGUGCAGAUCGCAAAGCGGGGUUCCUGCCUCGUCCUCGGAGACAUCACCUGUCCGGCGCGUUUGCUAAGGGCGCCCAGAGCAGCGGGCUUUAGGCUUCUGACAGAGCUGGAGGAGACGGGCCCGUCUUUCCGCCCCUUACCUGCUCCCCACCCGCCCUCCAGAUUCGUUUCGCGCACACUCCACAGAGUAAUCAUUUUUUAGGUGUCUGAUAACAGCACUUCGUGUGUCAUUUCCCGGGACAAAAACAAUGACAGACUUAUCCGCGCUACCAUCGAAGUCUUGUGUCUGCAUGCAAAGGAUGGAAUCCCCCAUCUCCAUUCCCAAAAGUUUCCCUACGGGAGCCUGGUGCUUUCUCCUCCGGAACUGUUCUAGGGACUGCCUGUUUUUCCCUAGCCAUGGUUAACCGCCUCCGGUGGAUUCAGCCUGUGAAGGCAGUUAAGGCAGUUCACCACUAUUAUCAACCCUACACCUCGUGUGCACGCGCGCACACACUUGUAACCCAGUGGCACAAUGCAGGAAUUAGGGCAGCAAAGGCAAAUCACUGAAUAGCUAGGGCACCUCAUGCCUUUAGGGUCUUACCGGGUUUUUGUGAAUCUCGGUUUUAGGAGAGCUCCCUUAAUAAAAUUCUCAUGGAAGAUGCCACAUUUAAAUUAAUACCACCAAACUGGGUCAUUGCAGUUCGGUUACUUCCUUUCAAAAUUGCCAUCUCCUUUAUGGUCCUUCUCCAAAAUACAAUUAUUUUAUAUUCUUUUCCCACACCUGUGAGACAGGUUUCUGUGUUAAUGCCCACAAUUGCAUCUUACAUCUUGAUAAUAUGGAAGCUGAGGGAGAAUAGAAAUGAAGGCCUAGAUGUAAAGUCUAAAAAUGAAGGCUAACAGAAGACGAUUCAAGUUGGGAUUCACAAAAUAUUGUGAAUCUUUUAUGAAAUCUACACUUGCAAAGUGUACACUUGCCUGGCUUAAGAACAGCAUUAUUUUGAAUUCGGUCUUGACAUGAGUGAUACAUAGAUUCAAACAAAAGGUCAAUCAUUUCCAGCCAUGACAUCUUUAUAGGGGUAUGUGCUGUCUAAUUCUAAAAGUAGUAGAAAAGCAAAAAGAAAAGUUUAAUCCUAAAACAGAUAAUAAGCAAUAUUUUGGUGUUUAUUAAAGUCUUUUUCCUAUGCACUUUAACAAAAAUGAUACAUAAUAAAAGACAGUUUUAUAGCCUCUUGCUUGCAGUUAGCAAUAUAUUAUGGACAUUUUUUUUUUUUUUUUUUUUUUUUUUUUGAGACGGAGUUUCGCUCUUGUUGCCGAGGCUGGAGUGCAAUGGCGCAAUCUCGGCUCACCGCAACCUCCGCCCCCUGCGUUCAGGCAAUUCUCCUGCCUCAGCCUCCUGAGUAGCUGGGAUUACAGGCACACGCCACCGUGCCCAGCUAAUUUUUUGUAGUUUUUAGUAGAGACGGGGUUUCACCAUGUUGACCAGGAUGGUCUCGAUUUGCCGACCUCGUGAUCCACCCACCUCAGCCUCCCAAAGUGCUAGGACUAAAAGCUUGAGCCACCGCACCCGGCCUAUUAUGGACAUUUUUUUAACUCAACAAAUAUUCUUCAACAAUAUGGAUUUUAAUGGUGAAGCCAAUGUUAACAGUUUCAUUUGACUAUAAGAUGCAGUGGCAAAAAGGAAGAAAUUUCUGCUUUUUCAAGUACAGUAAACUAAAGAACUGGCUCCAAGAUAUCUACUUUUCCAACUUACAAAUAACUAGAAAGAAGUUUAAAAGAGAAUGUUAGGUCUCAAUAAAUGCUAAUUAACAAUGGAAGAAUAUGAGAUUUUUUUUAACAAAAGAGUCAAGCUGCCAGUUCUCUACCUAUUCUAUUAGCACUUGGGUACCACCCACAGUCCAGUGUAUUGAUAGUUGCUAAAUAACCCUUUCCACAUUAUUUAGAAAGUAGAGAGGAGAAUUUAUUUUUAUUAAAAACACACACACACACACAAAGAGAAGGAAGGAGGUUGAACUCAAUCAAUUUUGCUUGAAUAAUUCAAGCCCAGAGACUUAAUAAUUAACUAGACACUAAACACAUUGUGCGGGUGUUAUUUUAAAUGUUCCGGUUGAAGUGUGAACCAG
Molecule: long non-coding RNA, 3703 nt
Organism: Callithrix jacchus (white-tufted-ear marmoset)
Lineage: Eukaryota; Metazoa; Chordata; Mammalia; Primates; Cebidae
Source: Ensembl